Molecule: ribosomal RNA, 283 nt
Filed under: endophytic bacterium
Lineage: Bacteria
Description: partial 16S ribosomal RNA
Rfam family: Bacterial small subunit ribosomal RNA
Source: RNAcentral
UGGGGAAUAUUGCACAAUGGGCGCAAGCCUGAUGCAGCCAUGCCGCGUGUAUGAAGAAGGCCUUCGGGUUGUAAAGUACUUUCAGCGGGGAGGAAGGUGUUGUGGUUAAUAACCACAGCAAUUGACGUUACCCGCAGAAGAAGCACCGGCUAACUCCGUGCCAGCAGCCGCGGUAAUACGGAGGGUGCAAGCGUUAAUCGGAAUUACUGGGCGUAAAGCGCACGCAGGCGGUCUGUCAAGUCGGAUGUGAAAUCCCCGGGCUCAACCUGGGAACUGCAUUCGA